Molecule: ribosomal RNA, 329 nt
Filed under: uncultured bacterium
Lineage: Bacteria
Description: bacterial SSU rRNA
Rfam family: Bacterial small subunit ribosomal RNA
Source: RNAcentral
GACGAACGCUGGCGGCGUGCUUAAUACAUGCAAGUCGAGCGAGGCCCAUCCGGUGGCAACACCGGGGAAGGCCGAGCGGCGAACGGGUGAGUAACACGUGAGCAACCUGCCCCGAAGUCUGGAAUAACAUCGGGAAACCGGUGCUAAUACCGGAUCGCCCCACCUGACCGCAUGAUCGGGUGAGGAAAGAUUUAUCGCUUCGGGAGGGGCUCGCGGGCCUAUCAGCUAGUUGGUGGGGUAACGGCCUACCAAGGCGUCGACGGGUAGCUGGUCUGAGAGGACGACCAGCCACACUGGGACUGAGACACGGCCCAGACUCCUACGGGAGG